This 76-nucleotide transfer RNA is filed under the name Bacillus anthracis (anthrax bacterium). RNAcentral's name for it is "tRNA-Glu (TTC) (tRNA-Glu-TTC-1-1)". It matches the Rfam family "tRNA". From Rfam's summary of the family: Transfer RNA (tRNA) molecules are approximately 80 nucleotides in length. Lineage: Bacteria; Bacillati; Bacillota; Bacilli; Caryophanales; Bacillaceae. The record is from RNAcentral.
GGCCCGUUGGUCAAGUGGUUAAGACACCGCCCUUUCACGGCGGUAACCACGGGUUCGAAUCCCGUACGGGUCACCA